Molecule: ribosomal RNA, 254 nt
Filed under: uncultured bacterium
Lineage: Bacteria
Description: partial 16S ribosomal RNA
Rfam family: Bacterial small subunit ribosomal RNA
Source: RNAcentral
UACGUAGGCAGCGAGCGUUGUUCGGAGUUACGGGGCGUAAAGGGUGUGUAGGCGGUUGUUUAAGUUUGGUGUGAAAUCUCCCGGCUCAACUGGGAGGGUGCGCCGAAUACUGAAUGACUUGGAGUGCGGGAGAGGAGAGUGGAAUUCCUGGUGUAGCGGUGAAAUGCGUAGAUAUCAGGAGGAACACCGGUGGUGUAGCCGGCUCUCUGGACCGUAACUGACGCUGAGACACGAAAGCGUGGGUAGCAAACAGG